UACGGAGGGUGCAAGCGUUAUCCGGAUUCACUGGGUUUAAAGGGUGCGUAGGCGGGCAGGUAAGUCCGUGGUGAAAUCUCUGGGCUUAACCCAGAACGGUCAGCUGAUACUGCGGGGCUAGAGUGCAGAAGGGGCAACUGGAAUUCUCGGUGUAGCGGUGAAAUGCGUAGAUAUCGAGAGGAACACCUGCGGCGAAGGCGGGUUGCUGGGCUGACACUGACGCUGACAGCGCGAAAGCUAGGGGAGCGAACGGG
This 254-nucleotide ribosomal RNA is filed under the name uncultured bacterium. RNAcentral's name for it is "partial 16S ribosomal RNA". It matches the Rfam family "Bacterial small subunit ribosomal RNA", at positions 524 to 776 of the family's 1533-position model. The record is from RNAcentral.